RNAcentral lists this ribosomal RNA (441 nucleotides) under uncultured bacterium. Its description in RNAcentral is "bacterial SSU rRNA". It matches the Rfam family "Bacterial small subunit ribosomal RNA", at positions 338 to 795 of the family's 1533-position model. The record is from RNAcentral.
CCUACGGGAGGCUGCAGUGAGGAAUUUUCGUCAAUGGGGGCAACCCUGAACGAGCAACGCCGCGUGCAGGAUGAAGGUCUUCGGAUCGUAAACUGCUUUUCUCUGGGACGAGCAAGGACGGUACCAGAGGAAGAAGCCCCGGCUAACUACGUGCCAGCAGCCGCGGUAAUACGUAGGGGGCGAGCGUUGUCCGGAUUUAUUGGGCGUAAAGCGUCCGCAGGCGGUCAACCAAGUUUGGGGUGACAGUUCCCGGCUCAACUGGGAAAGUGCUUCGAAAACUGGUUGACUUGAGGGCUUCAGAGGAAAGCGGAAUUCCGGGUGGAGUGGUGAAAUGCGUAGAUAUCCGGAGGAACACCAAUGGCGUAGGCAGCUUUCUGGGAAGUACCUGACGCUCAGGGACGAAAGCUAGGGGAGCAAACGGGAUUAGAUACCCCGGUAGUC